UUUUUUUGCUGACUGAUUUGCAUGGGUCCCUCCAGCCCAGCCUAGCUGCUCAGAAAUUUUAAACCAGGCCUUUGCAGCAAGAACUGCAUCAGACAGCAGGUAGAGCAAGAUGAAGUCACAGACACAGGUCCUCAUGUCCAUGCUGCUCUGGGUGUCUGGUGCCUGUGGAGAAAUUGUGAUGACUCAGUCUCCAUCCUUUCUCGCUGUAUCAGGAGGAGAGAAGGUCACCAUCAACUGUAGAUCCAGUCAGAGCCUUUUAUACAGUAAAAACCAGAAGAACUACUUGGUCUGGUUCCAACAGAAACCGGGGCAGUCUCCUAAACUGCUGAUCUACUGGGCAUCCACUCGGCACACUGGGGUCCCUGAUCGCUUCAUAGGCAGUGGAUCUGGGACAGAUUUCACUCUCACCAUCAGCAGUGUUCAGGCUGAAGACAUGGCAGAUUACUACUGUAUGCAGAAUUAUGAUACUCCUCCCACAGUGCUUCAGCCUCCAACAGAAACCUCUUCUGAGAGUCUCACCAGCUGCUUGCACCACACACAGCCCUGGACUUUCAUACUUCUCCUUCCAGCCUGAGGCCCGCAUGUCUAAAACAAUGAUAAAGAAGUCUGCAGAGUCCAGCAAAAAUGAUGGGUUCAAUGUCUCAUGCCUUUUUGUGUGAAAAUCCUUUACACAAAAAUCUAAAAAGGAGCCCAGUAUCAUCUUUCUAUUCCUUCUGUAACAAUUUACCAUGAAUUUUGUUGCUUAAAUAUUGGAGAUCUAUCUUUUUAUCAUUCUGGAAUUCUAGUAUCCAACAUAAAACUCCAUGGGAUGAAAUGAUAAUGAUGGCAAGCUAUGUUUCAGUUUGGAGCUCUAGGGAAUAUUUCUUGCUUUUUCUGGCUUCUAGAGAACUUUCCUACUUCUUUCCCUCUGUUCAUUACUUUAGUAUUUUCUUUUCUAAUUUUUUAUUUAUAAUUGCAUUUUAAUUACAAUUUCAUUAGUUUCUGUGAAUGUAUGCACAUGUAUGUACAUAUACAAGUGCUAUGACAAAUUUUUGGACAUCACAGGAAACUUUUGAGUGGAUUCUCUUGCCAUUUGGGUUCUGGAGAUAAAACUUGGGUCUGACUUCAGGCUUUGUGUCUUUGAAGUCUAAGUGAUUUUGCUGCACAUUAUUACUGUCAGAACGAUUAUAGUUAUCCAGUGCUUUAGCAUCUAACAAAAACCCCCUCUGAGAGUCUCAGCAGCUUCCUGCAUCGUGCACAGCCCAGGACAUGAAGACUUCCCCAUUCUUCUUGAGAGCCAGUGUGUUUGAAACACUAAUCAAACAUUUGCAGAGUGCAUCAAAAAUAAAUGUUUGCAUGUAACUUAAGUCUUUCAUUAUGAAAAAUCUUUAUUUGAAAAUGCAAAAAAGUACUCAGUAUUAACUUUCUAGUCCUCCUGUAACACACUACCACAAACUCUAUCCUUGAACAUGAGGGAUUUACCUUUUUAUAGUUGUGCAGUUUUAAUAUCCAACAGAAGAAAAAAUAUUUGGGCUGAAGUAAUGAUGAUGGCAAACUCCAUCUUGGUUUGGAGACACUAGUAAGGAAUAAGUUUUUUGCUUUUUGUACCUUCCAGAGGGAAUUCUUUCUUAUGUGUGCCCAUUUAUUCUGAUUUUUCUUCUCUUUUUAUAAUUUUUAACAUGUAUUAAAUUAUAAAUAAUUAAUUUUGUGGGUCCAAGCACAUAUGAGUGUAUCUGUGUGCAUGUGUGUAUGUGUGCAUGUAUGUGCCUACUUGCAUGUUUAGGUAUACAUGUACAUGACAUGUUUGAGGAAGUCAGGGAACAUCUUGUGUAUUUGAUCUCCUUUGUUUUCUAUGUGGGCUCUGGGGAUCACGCUCAGGUCUGACAUCAGACUUGGGAGCAAGUGUCUUUUUCUUUGAGCAAUCUUACUGCCAAUUAAAAUACUUUUUUUGUUA
Molecule: non-coding RNA, 1933 nt
Organism: Mesocricetus auratus (golden hamster)
Lineage: Eukaryota; Metazoa; Chordata; Mammalia; Rodentia; Cricetidae
Source: the annotation of a RefSeq genome assembly